CCUACGGGAGGCAGCAGUGGGGAAUAUUGGACAAUGGGCGCAAGCCUGACCCAGCAACGCCGCGUGAAGGAAGAAGGCUUUCGGGUUGUAAACUUCUUUUGACAGGGAAGAGUAUGAGACGGUACCUGGCGAAUACGCCACCGCUAACUACGUGCCAGACGCCGCGGUAAUACGUAGGUGGCAAGCGUUGGCCGGAUUGACUGGGUGUAAAGGGCGUGUAGCCGGGGUGACAGUGCAGGUGUGAAAUCCGGCGGCCUAACCGCAGAACUGCAUUUGAAACUGUGGAGCUGGAGUACUGGAGAGGCAGACGGAAUUACUGGUGUAGCGGUGAAAUGCGUAGAUAUUAGGAGGAACACCAGUGGCGAAGGCGGUCUGCUGGACAGCAACUGACGGUGAGGCGCGAAAGCGUGGGGAGCAAACAGGAUUAGAUACCCUUGUAGUC
Molecule: ribosomal RNA, 442 nt
Filed under: uncultured bacterium
Lineage: Bacteria
Description: partial 16S ribosomal RNA
Rfam family: Bacterial small subunit ribosomal RNA
Source: RNAcentral